GACGAACGCUGGCGGCGUGCUUAACACAUGCAAGUCGAACGGAAAGGCCCUGCUUUUGUGGGGUGCUCGAGUGGCGAACGGGUGAGUAACACGUGAGUAACCUGCCCUUGACUUUGGGAUAACUUCAGGAAACUGGGGCUAAUACCGGAUAGGAGCUCCUGCUGCAUGGUGGGGGUUGGAAAGUUUCGGCGGUUGGGGAUGGACUCGCGGCUUAUCAGCUUGUUGGUGGGGUGGUGGCUUACCAAGGCUUUGACGGGUAGCCGGCCUGAGAGGGUGACCGGCCACAUUGGGACUGAGAUACGGCCCAGACUCCUACGGGAGGCAGCAGUGGGGAAUAUUGCACAAUGGGCGGAAGCCUGAUGCAGCAACGCCGCGUGCGGGAUGACGGCCUUCGGGUUGUAAACCGCUUUCGCCUGUGACGAAGCGUGAGUGACGGUAAUGGGGAAAGAAGCACCGGCUAACUACGU
RNAcentral lists this ribosomal RNA (467 nucleotides) under uncultured bacterium. Its description in RNAcentral is "partial 16S ribosomal RNA". It matches the Rfam family "Bacterial small subunit ribosomal RNA", at positions 28 to 506 of the family's 1533-position model. The record is from RNAcentral.